This 264-nucleotide ribosomal RNA is filed under the name uncultured bacterium. RNAcentral describes it as "partial 16S ribosomal RNA". It matches the Rfam family "Bacterial small subunit ribosomal RNA", at positions 29 to 314 of the family's 1533-position model. The record is from RNAcentral.
AGCGAACGCUGGCGGCAUGCUUAACACAUGCAAGUCGCACGGGCAGCAAUGUCAGUGGCGGACGGGUGAGUAACGCGUAGGUAUCUAUCCUUGGGUGGGGGACGAACUGUGGGAAACGUACAGCUAAUACCGCAUGAUGACCGAGGUCUAAAGGACGCCAAGUCGCCUGGGGCGGAGCCUGCGUACGAUUAGCUUGUUGGGUGGGGUAAAGGGCCUACCAAGGCGACGANCGUUAGCUGGUCUGAGAGGAUGAUCAGCCACAUU